RNAcentral lists this long non-coding RNA (3152 nucleotides) under Canis lupus familiaris (dog). RNAcentral describes it as "lncRNA (ENSCAFG00040024983.1)". The record is from RNAcentral. Lineage: Eukaryota; Metazoa; Chordata; Mammalia; Carnivora; Canidae.
AUGACUUUCCACCCUGUGCUGGUGGUGGGCCAGGCUCCCUUAACCAAUUCAGGUGGGUGGGUAGGGGUUGGAAUUGAGACCAGUUCAAAUGCUCUCUUUAGGAUGUUUCCCCGGGGGCACCAUCUCCCUACUAUCCCCUCCCAUUUCUUCUCUUCACAGUUGGUCAUUGUAUUUUUUUAUGGCAUCUAUUUGUUUAAUGCCUGUCUCCCCGACUGGAAUGUGAACUCCCUGAGGGCAGGCACCCCGCUUUGUUCACCACUGUGUUCCCAGGGCUCUUCACAGUGCCCCGCACAAAGUGCAGCUCAUUGGAGAGUGAAGAACAAUGAAGGGACAGACAGAGGGAUGGGCGGACACAGCCUCAGACAAAGGAAGAAGGAAAGAGAAAGAGGCCACCCUUGUGCUGGGUCUGGGAGAGAAGGGAGCCAGUAUCUUUUACGGAGCUGCGAGAUUGUCACACAACCUGGGAAUGAGCAACCUACGUGCUUCCUAAUCCAAAGUUGGUCACGACAAGACAAAAUCUUUCAUCAGUCUAGAUUGACACGGAGAACAGCUGGAAUUCUUCCCAAGACAUCUUCAAUAAGAAAAGGAGCUCUGCUCAUGUGUGAUCGGAGGGAUGGAAGCAAGACUGGAGUACCAGGACCCUGGGUGGAGACAAGCCUGGCUUGUACCCCUGACUCCCCCUCUGCUGACUGCACACACCUCACUCUCCCAGAGUCCGGAGGCUUUCCAGUCAGAGGCCAAGUCCUAAGGAAGGAAGUUCAGGAGCCCAGAGCUGGGAGGCAACUCACUGGGUCUGCACAUUCUUCCUAGAUUAGUAACACACAUUCUCUUGCUAGUUCAUUGUGAGCGAGUUGGGAGCGCUUUCCUUUUUCUCUUUUAGGGAGGUCAUGUCACGAUUCUACACACGCUUCUAAUUGCAGUCCCCCCCCCCCCCCCACCUCCCGCCUCCCGCAGAAACGAAUGGAGCAUUUUCCAGGUCAGAUUGGUGUUUAGUCAUCUGGACACGAGUCCCCCCUUCCUCUUGCCUUAAUCUUUCCCAGGCUGGAUUCUGUCUUUGAAACAAUAGGAAAUGACAAGGUCUAUUUUUCUUUUCUUGAAAGGACUCAAACCAUGGAGUCAUGAGUUGGAACGGAGAAAGUACGGGGAAUGAAUCUGUACCCCCAAUAGGAAGUGACCAACUUUCCUCCUUUUGUUCUGCCCGAGUCCAGCGGGCUGAGCUCAUGAUAUGCCAGAGAAUUUGCUUAAAAGCAGGAAGGCGGCAUGUUCACCUCAAGAUAAAUUCCCAGUUGGAUUGUCUGUUGGACCCACUCUGAGAUGCAGUCAGGCUGUGAGCGGUCUUCAAGCAAAGAUUGGGAACCUUUCAAAGAGGGGGUCUGCUAGGAGAAUUCCUGGGGCCCUGGAUGAUCUUAAGGCACCCCCUGUGAGCCAGUUACUAGAUGAGCUUUCUAAGUGUUGAUUUUUGGGGCGCCUGGGUGGCUCAGUGGUUGAGCGUCUGCCUUUGGCUCAGCUCGUGACCCUGGGGUCCUGGGAUCAAGUCCCGCAUCGGGCUCCCCCACGGAGCCUGCUUCUCCCUCUGCCUAUGUCUCUGCCUCUCUCUGUGUCUUUCAUGAAUAAAAUCUUUUUUAAAAAUGUGUUGAUUUUCAUUUCUCUGACAGAAUUAAGCUGUAAUUUGCUAUUUCCAAGAUAUUGUGCGUAACUGGAUAGUGAUCAGUCACAUCAGAAGCAAUUACUGUUCCAAGAGUUUGAGGCCAGGCCCUGCUGGCUGAGGGUGGGCUGGAUAGGUGAGUCCCUUAUCACCCGGGAAGGAUGCUGCCCAAGGACUGUGAUGCCAUCCUUCCUGCCACGUGUCAGACUGGUCCCGUGGCCUGGAGCCCAGAUCCACCUCUGGUGCCCUGCGCCGCCGUCAGCCUGUUUUCCCACGGCACCUCCCUACUCUGGCUCUUCCCCAUUCCCAAACGUGCCCUUCCGGCUCCCACCUUCUGGCCUCUCACUGCUGCUUGUCUCUGCACCUCCCCACCUCGAUUCACCUUUCAAAAUUCUGCUUGUUCCAGGACACCUGGGUGGCUCAGUGGUUGAGCGCUUCCCUUCAGCUCACGGCGUGAUCCUGGAGACUGGGAUCGAGUCCCGCAUUGGGCUCCCUGCAUGGAGCCUGCUUCUCCCUCUGCCUGUGUCUCUGCCUCUCUCUGUGUGUCUCUCAUGAAUAAAUAAAUAAAAUCUUAAAAAAAAAUUCUGCUCAUUCCUUGAGGACCAGGCUGAGCAUCCUUGCCAUCUCUCUUUGCUCUCAGGCCACCUGCUUUGACCAUUUACUGUCAUUCUUCUACCUUGUUUGUGAAGCCAGGACGUCCAGAGGAUAAAGGAAAAGUCGGCUCUGCUCCUGGGUUCCAUGGAGAUGUGAGACACUGAAGGAAGACGAAGAGGAGGGGGGAAGGGAGUGAGAUCGUGGUGACCCAGUCCCAGGGCAGUGGGGACAAGGCUCCUGAGGUGCGAUGGGCCUGGCCUGACAUUUCUCUGGACUCUUCCUUGGGUGCUGGUAGGCUGCUAGAUUGGUGGGUGGGUGGCCGCUCUGCUAGGUAAGCCCCACUCUUCUCAAGAGACAAAGAAAGAGGAACUAGCGGCAGCCUCAGUGCCCCAAGGAGUGCCGGUGGCAGCAGCUGUGACAGGAUGUGGCCAGGGCAGGGGAGGUGGACUGGGCUCCCGAGGCCGGGGCUCUGCAGUGGGUAGGAACUCACGAACAUUGGGCUGCAGCUCCGGCUGGCUGCCUGUGCCUCACACCAGGGCAACAGAGGCCUCAGGCAUCCCCCAGAAGGUGAGUGGAGGUGGUGUAAGUGGUACCCGGAUCCCACACAUCUGAGCCUGGGAUCUGGAUCUGAUUUCACUGCCUGGUCGAUGAGGCCCAAGGAAAUACCUGCCGUGUUCACUGCAGUGAGUUGGGCUCAUGUCUGUGUGUCUGAAUGACCCACUGGCUCAGCAUCCCCCAACAGAACCGUCCACCCUGUCCAAGCAGUAGCCACUGGCCAUGUGGCUCCUGACCACUUGGAAUGUGACUGGUGUGAUUGGGAAGCGGACUUCUGUAUUUCAUCAACCGAUUCGGAUUUAAAUUUAGACAACCACGAGUGGCUAGUGGCUCCAUUCUGGACAGAGCUGCCUAGGAU